AACCCCCCCAGGGGAGGUGUUUAGUUGGGCGGGAUUUCAGUUUGCAGGCAUGGACUUUUGGGUGUCUGUGACAUCCAAGUGCAUGGGAAGUAGUCAGCUCAGGACAUCAGUCUGGAACUGCAAUGAGGAGACAAGAUCAUAGGGUAGCUUGUAGAUAACAGGUAAGGCUUCUGAAGCCGUAAGAUGUCCUCAGGGAAGAGCGUGAGAGAUUCAGAAAGGUGAGGCCUCUAGAGGAGAUUGAAAAGGAAAACUAAAGCAAUUGGAAGUUUACCAAGAGAAUCAAGUACUUAAUGGAAGAGAAUGUCUUAGGAAGGAAGUAGCCAUGAUAUUAAAUCCUUAGAGAUGGAGUACUAACAAAAAGGGGCAAGGUAUAAGGGGAGGGAAAUAGCCUUUUUAUUGAGAAAUACGGAUCUCACUGGUGAACUUGGAACAUGUGUGGUGGAGUGAUGGCCCAGUAGCUGAUUUGCAGUAAGUAAAGACACAAGGCAGGCGAAAAAAUGAACACAGUACAAACAGAUAAAAACCUCAGUUAUAUGAGGAAGAUUAAGAUCAAGUGGUACCUAGGGGAGAAUGAGAGGUAAACAAAUUUGUCUUUUAAAGUAUGAGGGAGACUUACAUAGUUUUAAUGAAAAUGGAAAGUAUCCUGACAAGAGGAGGCAGUGGAAAAUUCAGGAGGGAGAGGAGAUCACUGACAAUGGUGCCUGGGAUGGCAGAAAGAAUGCGACCCAAGGCAUCAGUGGAGAAACCACGCUUGGAAGAAAGGUUAUUCUCGCCAACACAGUGCAAGAGGAGGGGAACAGAGGAGUACUUAGUUAAAAUCAAGUUAAAACAACCUCAGAGGAUGCUAAAAGGACUCAAACAUCUAAUUGUUGGAGAAAAACUAGAGUACAAGGGCUGGUGCUGUGGAGUAGUGGGUAAAGCCGCCACCUGCAGUGCCGGCAUCCCUUAUGGGCGUUGAUUGGAGACCCAGCUGCUCCACUUCCGAUCCAGCUCUCUGCUAUGGCCUGGGAAAGCGAUGGAGGAUAGCCCAAGUCCAUGGGCCCCUGCACCCACGUGGGAGACCUGCAAGAAGCUCCUGGCUCCUGGCUUCAGAUCAGCACAGCUCCGGCCAUUGUGGCCAUCUGGGGAGUGAACCAGUGGAUGGAAGACCUCUCUCUUCCUCUCUCUCUCUCUC
This 1174-nucleotide long non-coding RNA is filed under the name Oryctolagus cuniculus (rabbit). Its description in RNAcentral is "lncRNA (ENSOCUG00000033715.1)". Lineage: Eukaryota; Metazoa; Chordata; Mammalia; Lagomorpha; Leporidae. The record is from RNAcentral.